UUCUUUCUUUGAUUCUAUAAAUUGUCUUUCUGGGGUAUUGGUUAAAGAUAGAAAACUGAGUAAAGAUUGGGUCUUUUUUUGAUUUUCUAAUUUUUUUUGAAACAUGAAGAAUAAUCUAUCUGGGUUAGAUAUGGGUAUGUGCUGUUGAUGAUGGUGGUAUAAUUACAGAGUCAAAGUUCAUGUUUGUUUGUGAUUCCGG
Molecule: long non-coding RNA, 199 nt
Filed under: Panax ginseng (ginseng)
Lineage: Eukaryota; Viridiplantae; Streptophyta; Magnoliopsida; Apiales; Araliaceae
Description: long non-coding RNA (PGIN_LNC018802)
Source: RNAcentral